UACGGAGGGGGCUAGCGUUGUUCGGAAUUACUGGGCGUAAAGAGUACGUAGGCGGUUUAUUAAGCUAGAUGUGAAAUCCCUGAGCUCAACUCAGGAACUGCAUUUAGAACUGGUAGGCUAGAGAGUGUUAGAGGUUGGUAGAAUUUCUUGUGUAGGGGCGAAAUCCGUAGAUAUAAGAAGGAAUACCGAUGGCGAAGGUAGCCAACUGGGACAUUUCUGACGCUGAGGUACGAAAGCGUGGGUAGCAAACAGG
This 253-nucleotide ribosomal RNA is filed under the name uncultured bacterium. RNAcentral's name for it is "partial 16S ribosomal RNA". It matches the Rfam family "Bacterial small subunit ribosomal RNA", at positions 524 to 776 of the family's 1533-position model. The record is from RNAcentral.